CCUACGGGAGGCAGCAGUGGGGAAUAUUGCACAAUGGGGGAAACCCUGAUGCAGCGACGCCGCGUGAGUGAAGAAGUAUUUCGGUAUGUAAAGCUCUAUCAGCAGGGAAGAAAAUGACGGUACCUGAUUAAGAAGCCCCGGCUAACUACGUGCCAGCAGCCGCGGUAAUGCGUAGGGGGCAAGCGUUAUCCGGAUUUACUGGGUGUAAAGGGGGCGUAGACGGCAGCACAAGUUUGGAGGGAAAUGCCGGGGCUUAACCCCGGACCUGCUUUGGAAACUGUGCAGCUAGAGUGCAGGAGAGGUAAGUGGAAGUCCUAGUGUAGCGGUGAAAUGCGUAGAUAUUAGGAGGAACACCAGUGGCGAAGGCGGCUUACUGGACUGUAACUGACGUUGAGGCUCGAAAGCGUGGGGAGCAAACAGGAUUAGAUACCCGGGUAGUC
Molecule: ribosomal RNA, 440 nt
Filed under: uncultured bacterium
Lineage: Bacteria
Description: partial 16S ribosomal RNA
Rfam family: Bacterial small subunit ribosomal RNA
Source: RNAcentral